This is a long non-coding RNA of Pezoporus occidentalis (night parrot), 5550 nucleotides long. RefSeq lists it as uncharacterized. NCBI's taxonomy places the organism in Eukaryota, Metazoa, Chordata, Aves, Psittaciformes, Psittacidae. The transcript has 4 exons. The record is from RefSeq and is a predicted model, not a curated record.
AAAUUUUAUUUUACCUUAAGAAUUCCUAAGUAUGCAGCAGAGAUGUAAUUUAUCCUGCUCUCAUCACAAUCUUCUAGCUUAAUUUUUCAGAAGCAUCUAGGUAAGCUCUUUUUCAUUCCUGCAGGUUUUUUUUUUUUCAAUGGCUUCAGCUCAGGAAGACUGGCACCCAGCAAAAUUUUCUUUUACUUUUCUUGACAGUGUGGUUAUGCCAUCUGGAAGAUCUCCCAUCUGGUUCUCUGCAGCUUCCAGCUGGCUCUGUGUCUGUAUCCUGCUCCAGUUGUACCUGCAUAAUGUCUGUUACUGUAAUUUCAUUGUGCUCACCUGCAUGUCAGAGAAUUGGGUCUUAAAGGCCUUAUUUAACCAUGACAUUUAAACAGGUUCUUUAUCCUGAUUGUGAGGACUGAUAUGUCUGUUGACUCCUGCAGUCCUUAUCUGGCAAAAUCAAAAAAGCAGCACUAGUGCUUAACCUCAGUGACCAAAACAGGGCCUUUAUCAUCAAGGCAAGUGACUUAGCAGGACUGCUCACUGAAGUUAUUCUUCUUCAGACUGUUAUGGGAAAUACUACAUUUUGUACUGAUAGUUCUUAGAUAAAGAAGUUUCUGGGUGUAACUGUUACUGGAGUAAUAUCCAAAAGUGUAUUCAGGCAAAAGUCCCUAAACUGUGUUCUUGGAUCCACCCUGGCAGCGCCUUGAGAUUAUGGCAGGUGAAAAUGUUGAGCAUGUUGCAGGACCUGAUUAGUUGUUUGCAUGCAACUUUAGCAUAAAGCUGUUACCCUCCCUUUGCUUUGCAGAAGAAUAUUUUCAAUUUUUUUCAUGAUUCUUAAACCAACUGUAAAUGCUGGUGGUUUAUAGUGCUGGGACUCUGUUAUGCAGGGAUGUUGGUGGGGAAGUUCGUCAGUGAAUUCUCAGAAAGGCUUAGAAUGAGCAGUGUUGGGAAACCUGAGCCACCAGCUGUCUCUUUAAGAAUUUUUUUCUAAGUUUGUUGUAAUUUCCAGUGGUGAGAAUUAAUUAAAUAUAAAAUUAAAUGGAUUGUUAUGGAGCUUAUAGCAUCUGAAUAAAACCAAAUACGAAUGAUUCGAUUUUUCAUAUAAAGGACUUCUUCCAGGAAUAUUUGAUUUUUUAACUGCAGUCCUCACUAAUUACUACCACUCUGCUUGGGAAAAAUAAACUAAAAUAGUAGUUUUAAAUCCACUUCACUAUCCCUUCCUUUUAUUUUCUGUUUGCUGUUAUAGUGCCUUUGUUGUGUAGUCCCAUCAACACACUGCAGCAACAGCAGGACAUUGUCUUCCAAAUAAAGUUUUGCUGAGGAAUAUAAUUUUCUGACAGUUAAUAUUUGGGUUUGUUGCUCUUUUAGCCCCUCCUUUUGGAGCUGUGGCUGUUCUGCCAGCUUUGGGUAAGAGGAGUGUGUGUUUGUAUGUCUGUGUGUGUGUGUAAGAAGGGAAGUGGGUUAUCCUUUUUGGUACCACUGUGUCAGUAUAUUGGACAUUUCAUUGUUGUUUAAAUUGAUAAAAUAAAUAUCUCCUGUUUGAUAACAUAAAAGGUGGUGUUUUUUAGAUUUUAUCUUACAAUUUAAGGCAGCAUGUUUCAGUACUAAAAAAAAAUUGUAUUUCUAGUAAUAGCAUUUUAUAUUCACUUCAAAGUGCUGUGGAUUCAAAUUAAGUAGUGUUAGAUUUCAAUAAGAUGACAGGGCUUUUGAAUGGCAACUGUUCUGUUUUAUUGUUCAGUAUUGAUUUAUAUUUUCAACUGAAAACAGCAGUUUUGAACAAGAAAGCAAUAGCAAGCUAAACUGAAAUAUUUUAAAUUUUUAUUUCUUUUUUUAAUCAAGUGACUUUGUGGAAAGCUAUGUUUUGCAGUCUCCAAAAUAUUUAAGUUGCUGCCGUGUGAACUCAUGUGAGAGAAAGAAGACAGAGAACUCCAGUGCCUCAUUCUAUAGUGUGAAAUGAAGUUUGUGGGUGGACUUUUCACAGGGCUGCAUUAUGCUUUGUCUCCAUGUGACAUGCUGGUUAAAUGGACAGGACGAGCCUUUGUAGUUUUGCAAUGUCCCAUUGUUAUUUAGCACAUAAGAACAGCUCAGUACUGGUGCAGCUGUUCAUAAACUGGUGAUUGGAAAACCUUGUUCAGGGCAAGAUGGAAAAUGCUAUAUCAUAAUCCUGAGUCUUGAAGAUGCUUCUGGCAAUGUGAAACACUCCCUUUCCUUAAAAACAUUAUUACCUCUAAUUCUUGUUGUGUGAUGCUGCAAAUGGAGACAGUACUGAGCAUCUAUUAGCAAUUCAGAUACACAGGGCUGAGGUUGAAGUUUUGAUCUUUUAUGCUCUCCGAGGAUCUCUGAAGAGUACUUUUCGCCUGGGGGUUUUGCACAGCCCUAUUUUGUGAGAAAUGCUGAGCUCCCGUUUCUUUUCUUUCUGCUUUGCUGAGGGUGGGGUUCUGAAAGCCUGCUGAAAACUUCAGUUGUAGCCUGUCUUUUUGAAGUAGUUGCAUUUUAAGUACUUUGUGAUCUGAAAGUAUUCUAAUUUCCCCCGGAAUAACAAGCACCUUCCUCUAACGGUAGGCGAGAGGUGACUAGCUAACAACAUUUUUCACACACACUCCCCAACUCACGUGAAAUCUCACACCCCAGGGUACCAGAACUGUUCCGCACUUCUGAUUUGGACAUUAACCUCUUAUUUUAGGAAGGAAGGAAGGGUUUGGGCUGAGCUGUGGAUUUGGGAUGUUUGCAAGAAGGCUGGGGUGUAUAAACCAAUAACUAGAUGUCUUACCCUGUUGCAGCUGCCAGUUUGCAUCAGGGUCUCCUGAGAACUUUUGCUUUUUGUAGAGCCCCAGAGAGCUGGUGCCAUACAGGGAGAGCAAACUGAAGGGUCAAGAGGAUGUCAAAUAUGUGCUCACCUGAGGUGUUUCAAGUGUCCUGGAAAAACCAUAAAAAGACACUAGGAUCUGACACCUUCCUAUAUGUCUUGCCCAGGCUGUGGAGUGGGGGGAGCACCGCUUUGUGACAUUUGAGCAUUGAUCCUGAGAAGUCUACAUAUUUGGCAGGUCAGUUGUUGGUGGUUUGAAAACUGAGUUUUCCUGUAUACUGGAAGGCUGGCUUUCUGGAUACUCACAGGUUUUAUCAUGGUCAUUGAAAUUCAAUAUAAGAAGACAAAUCUGUCCUUGAUAUUAUUUACUCAUAGGUGCUUGUUUAAGGAAGUAGCUAUCAUGGAACAACGUGAAAGUAUCAAUAGGCAUGUUGAUCACAGCAGAGGCAAUGCCACACAUACUUUUUUCUGCUGAAUGCAUACAAAUGCAGAACUCAUGACAUUCUCUGUUGCGCUAGCUGCUGUAUAAAAGAUUAAAGCUUGGAGCAGUUUGUUUAAUUAAUUCCAGUGUAGCAGAGUCCAUUGCUAGUAUGUGACCAAAGGCACUGAAACAAAGGGUGAUCUUCAGAACAUGUUAACUGCAGGAGAGCGGGGGCGACUUUCACAAAGGUCACGGAAAAGGGUCCGUCCCAGCUCAGUGGGUAAGUGAUCUCCCUGUAGGAGAGAGCAAAUGCUGCUUUUACAUACAUGAGGAUCUUAUUUGCUCAUGAUGUGACAGUACAAAGGACAAUCAAAAUGAGUUAAUGUAUUCAUUCUUUUCUUCUUUCUCUUUCUUGAUGAGUCAUAAUUACUGAAAACUAAUAUAUUUUCCAACAUCAAAAUAUUUCAUUGGAUUAUCAAUAUUCUAGUGUACUCCUUACUCUUUCAUGUUCAGAAUAUGAAGGGGCUUGCUAGACUACAGCUUCCCAUAUUUCAUUAAGUAGUUUAUGCGUACAUGGUACUUUUCAGAAAAAUUAAAUAGCUAAUCUCAAAACCGAUAUUGUCAGGGUGCAGUGUAUAUGAAAUGGUAUGUUACACUGUCUUACCUUGUCAUUAUUUUCCCCUAAUGAAAAUCUAAAAAACCCCAAAAACCUAAAAUCAUUAAAUGAUUAUUUAAUAAUUUUACCAACAAAUAUUCUCACAUAUUGUGUUGUUUGUUGUUUUGUUUUGUUUUUUUUCCUUACAAUCAGAAAAUACUGCCUACAAAAACCCUGUUGCUCCUUUUAUCUCUGCACAGGGUCACCUGAAAUGAUCUCAGUAUUUCCAUACAAGUGGUAAAAAGCUGCUCUUUCUAGUGUCAGACUUCCUUUCUAGUCCAGCAGUAUGUGCAUGGCUGGCUGAAUUUCAAUACCAUGCAUCCUGAAUAUGCAGGCUUUGUGCAGAAAAUGAUUGACUUUACUGUUGGCAUCAAUGUGUGAAAAGAAAGUUUUCUUAGAAGCUGCCUGACAUGUCACCUAAAGUCCCUUAAAUUACCAUAGAACUGAGAGAACACUGACCUGCAUUUUGCAGCAGCACCCUUGGUACAGCAGUACUGACUAUUGGCUGGUACUGCAGGCAAGACGCACAGCCUGUCAGCUCCUCACAACCUGCUAGAAGCUAGAGUGUGGAAAUAGGGACACCAGCUGCAUGUUCCUACUGGAUUUUGGCUCUUCUCCAGACAGGUACCCUGACCUCUGCUGUGGAGCCAGUCCAGCUGGCUUACUUCAUGUAAAGUUCAAAGUCUGCAUCAGAAAGACAUAGGCAGGCCACAGACUGAGUCUAAAACAUGGUUUUGGGCAUUGUCCUACAAGGUGGUGGAAGAAAUGUGCUCCACUGCAUUUAGGCAGAAAAGAAGGCUGAGUCCAGCACAUCACACACUGUGUGCAAGGACUCUAACUCUGGGUAUAAAAAUCCUUCCCUUCUGGGUGGUGAUAAAAAAGGCUCACAAAAUGCUCAGCUUCGCUGGUCCAGACUAAGGAGGUUGGGAAAGCCUGCUUUUCAAAUCUCAAUGGUGUUUAGUUAUGGCUUAGAUCGAGCUGAACCUUAGACACAUCUGCUCAAUAAUAAAAAGCAAAGGCACAUGGGCAUUCUUGAGAGCCCGGGAAGCAGUUUGUGGUCCCUGGAUAAGUGAGUGCAGAUUUGUCUGUGGCCACACAACCAUGGACUAGCUCCCUCUUUAGCAAACUGGCCUGGGCCUGUGCCCCAUGUAUUGCCAUGGGAGCCUUAAAUCCAAAAAUUAUUUUUCAGAUGCUUUUUAAAGCUGUGUCGUUCAGCUCUGCUGAGCAUGUGCAAUUGAGGAGACUAAGAGGAAAACUGCAAGUUGCCAGCAUAGUGAGUAUGGGACAGGUUGUAAAAGGUAACAGGGAAGGGCUAAAUCCUCUGUGAGUUCAUCGUGGAUUUAGCAGUGUUUCCAAAUGUGUCCAAGUUCAUUUGCCUGUUGACCUGAUGUUGGAAACAUGCAAAUAAAAUAUAUUCACUUUCUAUGGCAGCACAGAAUUGCAAAAACUCAUCUGAUACCAGUGAAAUAUGCUUAGCCAUUGAGCUUGCCUUUAAUUCAUUAUGAAAUAUAAUCAUAUUCUUAUAUCCACUGCAUACACCAAAUUGAGCUGUUUUAAAAAACAGAAGCCCAAAGAGACACUUGGCAGUUUCUGUUGGGGAUUAGUGGUAGCGCUGACAGAAGAUGUCACAUCUUAGCCUGGACCAUUCUUUUUACCCUUUGCUUAGCCUCUGUUUGACAUAGC